RNAcentral lists this long non-coding RNA (436 nucleotides) under Rattus norvegicus (Norway rat). Its description in RNAcentral is "long non-coding RNA NONRATT011674". The record is from RNAcentral. Lineage: Eukaryota; Metazoa; Chordata; Mammalia; Rodentia; Muridae.
GAUGUCGGGCUUCCUGGCAUGCCAGGAUCCAUGGAGCACGUGGACAUGGGCAGCAUGAAGGGGCAGAAAGGAGACCAGGGAGAGAAAGGACAAAUUGGACCCACUGGUGAUAAAGGUUCCCGAGGAGACCCCGGAACACCAGGAGUGCCCGGGAAGGAUGGGCAGGCAGGGCACCCUGGACAGCCAGGAUCCCCUGGACUUCCUGGACCCAAAGGAUCGGUUGGAGGAAUGGGCUUGCCAGGUUCGCCCGGAGAGAAAGGCGUUCCGGGCAUCCCUGGCUCACAGGGUGUCCCUGGCUCACCUGGAGAGAAAGGAGCUAAGGGAGAGAAAGGGCAGUCAGGUCUCCCUGGCAUUGGAAUUCCUGGACGGCCUGGUGACAAGGGAGAUCAGGGGCUUGCAGGUUUCCCAGGCAGCCCUGGUGAGAAGGGAGAGAAAG